Long non-coding RNA from Cervus elaphus (red deer), 361 nucleotides. RefSeq lists it as uncharacterized. The transcript is spliced from 4 exons. Lineage: Eukaryota; Metazoa; Chordata; Mammalia; Artiodactyla; Cervidae. The record is from RefSeq and is a predicted model, not a curated record.
AGAAGAAGGCUCAGAGAGGUUAAGAAACCUGCACAGUGCCACACAGCUCAUCUAACCAGCUCAUCUGGCUGGACCUGAUUGACAGAUUGGAUGCCAAUCAUGAAUGAAAAGAAUGGUUCCUUUGGCUGCAAGACCCAAGGUUAACCAGGACAUCUUCUUCUGAACAACUCUGUGCCUCAAACCUGAUUCCCCUUGGAAGUACCUGAACCGUGCAGAACUUCUAAACAGUGGAAGCCCACCAAACUGACUAAGAAGAUCUGCUCAGGGAGAGAUGAAGGAAAGGUAGAAGGAACACAGGUGGAUGCUUUCCCAUGACCUGAUGACAGUUUUGCACCUCCUGACUCCAGAGCCCAGUUCCUAC